This is a non-coding RNA of Vibrio splendidus, 51 nucleotides long. The record is from Rfam. NCBI's taxonomy places the organism in Bacteria, Pseudomonadati, Pseudomonadota, Gammaproteobacteria, Vibrionales, Vibrionaceae.
AUUCCUACAGUUACUGCUGACCCAAAAAUUCCUUAUAAUGAUAAGCAGUAA